CCGGAAGAGAGCCACGUGCUGGCUAAUUCCAUGCCCUUUUGUCCAAAAGGUUUCCAAAACCAGCGUGUGUUCUCCACAUCCCAUUCGUUGUAGCCAUACACACAACCAUCAUCGUAGUCAUCAUCUUCUUCUUCAUCUUCUACUCGACUCUCAAGCCAAAACUACAGAGAGUGAAAUUAUCCGUACAUUUUCUUUGCAAAAACUAUAUUAAACCAAUAAUCUACUGAUAGCAUUUUUGUGAGUGCUUCUUCUAUUACCAAACAUUGAAGCUGUAAAAUAAGAGGAAUGGGCCAGGCAUUUCGUCGAGCAUCUGGCAGAAUCCGAGCCACCGAUCCAUCUCCGACUCCCAAGAGCGUAAGUGAACGCAGGCCUCCCGUGGCCACCACCGAUAAGACGGAGAUCUCGAGGAGAACCGCCCAAUAUAAUAAUCAGGACCCUCUUGAUUUUGGUUAGUAUCUAUGUCCUUGCUUUUUAUUAGACUUAUCGGAUUCUUUAGAAGCUGAUUAAUUGGAAGUUGCGGCUACUUUGGUUUUUUUGGGGAACCCAAAUGCAAAAGCGAUUUCUAUUUUUUAAUUUUUAAAAUUUUUGCAUGUCCAUAUGAUUUUCAUAAACAGCGACUUGCAUAUGAUUUCCUCUGAAGUCAGUAUUCGAAGGGUUUGUUUGGUUUCUGAGAAAACUAAAGGAAAGACAUUAAAUUUCUAGCAUUGGCAUUCAUGUGGAUGGAGUGGUUUGUGCUUAUAGCUUGUAUUUUGGCCCCUCUAUUAUUCUCGUUGCUUGUGUAGCAGAAUUUGAAGUGGUUUGAUUUAUAAUUACGUUGCAAGCAAACGUUUUCAUGCCCUGCAAUUACUAGAGGAAUUGGAUUAGUAAGGACAUAUGCGAGAAAAGACCAGUUUGCAAUGUUUCACUUGGAUUGAAAUUAAAGGUGUUAGAAAUAAAAUAUUUUUCACUACAGGAUUGGAAACAUUUGCACCAGUCUUUCUUUAUCUUUUCUUUCCUGUUUAUUUCUUGAACCAUCUUGUCGAUUUUGAUUUAAGUCAACACAUAUCCUUACUUCUACUUGUCAGAUCCUUACUUCUACUUGUCAGAGAUCAGAGGAUAAUUUGUUUUUGAAAAUGUAAAUGUGUAAAUGUGAUGUUCACAAUGAGAGAUUUAUUAGAACAGACUAUUCCCCCAUUUCUGAAUGGCUACAGGUAUGUUGCUGAUGUUUUAGGGUAAAUAUCACACAGUGGCUUAACUUUUUUUCAUAAAAGUCACCAAACUUUUAAUUUCUUUCAUAAAACUCACUGAAUUUUAAUUUGAUUUCAUAAAAGUCAUUGUGACUUGAAAUUAAAGUUUUCAAACUAACCUGCUAAUCUGUCAACUAUUUUACAAAUAAAAUUACAUAACCAGUAGUUGCUGGAAGAAAAAAAUAGACAAAGGAGAGGAUUUGACGGCGAGAGGGUAGCUGGAUGCCUUUUAUGAAUCCUAUUUUCUUUUUUCUUUUUUUUUUGUACGUAACUAAUAAAAUAAA
This 1510-nucleotide unclassified non-coding RNA is filed under the name Hevea brasiliensis (rubber tree). Lineage: Eukaryota; Viridiplantae; Streptophyta; Magnoliopsida; Malpighiales; Euphorbiaceae. The record is from RNAcentral.